AUUGAACGCUGGCGGAAUGCUUUACACAUGCAAGUCGAACGGCAGCACGGACUUCGGUCUGGUGGCGAGUGGCGAACGGGUGAGUAAUGUAUCGGAACGUGCCCAGUCGUGGGGGAUCACGUAGUGAAAAUUACGCUAAUACCGCAUACGGUCUCUGGAUGAAAGCGGGGGAGCGCAACACAUCGCGCGAUUGGAGCGGCCGAUAUGAGAUUAGGUAGUUGGUUGGGUAAAGGCCCACCAAGCCAACGAUCUGUAGCUGGUCUGAGAGGACGACCAGCCACACUGGAACUGAGACACGGUCCAGACUCCUACGGGAGGCAGCAGUGGGGAAUUUUGGACAAUGGGCGAAAGCCUGAUCCAGCCAUUCCGCGUGAAGGAUGAAGGCCCUCGGGUUGUAAACUGCUUUUGUACAGAACGAAAAGGUUUCUACUAAUACUAGGAGCUCAUGACGGUACUGUAAGAAUAAGCACCGGCUAACUACGUGCCAGCCGCCGCGGUAA
RNAcentral lists this ribosomal RNA (500 nucleotides) under uncultured bacterium. Its description in RNAcentral is "partial 16S ribosomal RNA". It matches the Rfam family "Bacterial small subunit ribosomal RNA", at positions 30 to 523 of the family's 1533-position model. The record is from RNAcentral.